This 1236-nucleotide long non-coding RNA is filed under the name Homo sapiens (human). RNAcentral's name for it is "HSALNT0327366". The record is from RNAcentral. Lineage: Eukaryota; Metazoa; Chordata; Mammalia; Primates; Hominidae.
AAUGCGGUAUAGUGAUCCUCCUAGAGAGACACGUGUCUCCGAGGAGACAUGGCCCCUUUCAAACAGCCACCUCAGUUCUCUUUUACUGCCCUAUCCUUUCGCCGGGUUUCUCCUUUCAACCUUGAGAGAUAACUGACAUGGGCUUAGGAUACUCAGUCAUUCUGGAAUUCUGUAUCAGCACUGAAACAUGAGUGGGGAAAUUCUAAGAAAUUUACUUCUCUUUUUCUUUUCAUAUUUUCCUCAUUCCAAAGUGGAACUAAAUCGAGGUUCCCUAGCAACCCAGGGCUCUGUGAAGAUUCAUUAUUCUAUAAAAUCCCACCACCUUACAAACACAAAAUGUUACAAGUUGCCCAGUCACCCCGGCUUCUGAGAUGAAGAAUAUUAUUGAAGUCAAAUCUGGUGGCUAUCACACUCCAUGGAACUUGGGGCAACAUUUAGGUACCUCUACCCAGGAAAGAAUCUCUGAGAAAUAGGUGGCAGUUUCUCUAGCAGCAUAAGAAGAACCUUGAUAAGCAUCAUCCUUAAGUCCUGACAGCAGUGGAUGACUAGUCAGGAACCUGUCCAGGAGGACAUUGACAUGGAUCUGCCAGCUUUCUAAGACUUUCCCCAGAUUCAAGUCCAGUCACAUCAAGUUGCCUUAUUAAAGGGUCUGCCCACUCAAAAGGAGAAAGUGCAAAAGAUGCUCAGCAAGGAAUAUCCAGCACAAUAAGCAUUGAAGAAACAAAUGGCAACGCAAGCUUAAAGAAUUCCAAGCCAUUAUGAACUGACUCUUCAAAUAAGUGCUUAUUUUCACAUAACCAGGGAGUUUCUGGAUUAACUUCCAUAUAAGACAUAUUUAUUAAAAGAUUUGCACCCCUAUUGCUGGCACUGGGUGGACCUCCCCAAACGCUCUGCCCUUGGUGCUCUUCUGCCGGUUAUUCUCGUCCAUGACCCCAGAGCCAGGGAGAAUCUCACCAGUGCAGCCCAGGGCACUUCUGAUAACAUCUGAGCAGAGUGAAGGAGAAGAAACGCACGAGGCAGGCAUCUCAUUUAUGGAAGUGCUCCUCUGGGUCAAGCCCUCUGCCAAUAAUUUUCAUGCAUAAUGGCCCUUUCAUUCUCCCCAAAAAUUCUUCAAGGGAGGGUGAUAAUCCCAGGAUAUGGAAACAAGGAAAAGCAGACUACAAGAAGUUAAGUGACCUCCCCAAUGACCCGCUGCUCAUAAAUGGUAGUAUCAGAAUUAAAACCCAGAUGAGGCUG